GAUCAAAGUGUAGUAUCUGUUCUUAUCAGCUUAAUAUCUGAUACGUUCUCCAUAGGAGAACUACGAUAUUAAACUGAUUUUUGGACAUGGNCAGAGCGCUAGGGGCUUGCUCCGCCUCCGUCACGGGUCUGCC
This 133-nucleotide small nuclear RNA is filed under the name Phyllochaetopterus sp. AMW24402. RNAcentral's name for it is "partial U2 small nuclear RNA". It matches the Rfam family "U2 spliceosomal RNA", at positions 25 to 156 of the family's 192-position model. Rfam says of the family: U2 is a small nuclear RNA (snRNA) component of the spliceosome (involved in pre-mRNA splicing). Complementary binding between U2 snRNA (in an area lying towards the 5' end but 3' to hairpin I) and the branchpoint sequence (BPS) of the intron results the bulging out of an unpaired adenosine, on the BPS, which initiates a nucleophilic attack at the intronic 5' splice site, thus starting the first of two transesterification reactions that mediate splicing. The record is from RNAcentral. Lineage: Eukaryota; Metazoa; Annelida; Polychaeta; Chaetopteridae.